Myotis brandtii (Brandt's bat) is the source of this 58-nucleotide non-coding RNA. NCBI's taxonomy places the organism in Eukaryota, Metazoa, Chordata, Mammalia, Chiroptera, Vespertilionidae. The record is from Rfam.
UGGCUCAGUGGAUAGAGCGUUGGCCUGCAGAUCGAAGGGUCCCGGGUUCGAUUCCCGG